Molecule: transfer RNA, 48 nt
Filed under: Prymnesium neolepis
Lineage: Eukaryota; Haptophyta; Prymnesiales; Prymnesiaceae
Description: partial tRNA
Source: RNAcentral
GAACAUAACUUAAUGGUAAAGUUUUGGUCUUCCAAACCAAAAAUGCGA